GCGGGUAUGGCGGAAUUGGUAGACGCGCUGGUCUUAGGAGCCAGUGAAAUUCUCGUGUGGGUUCGAGUCCCACUACCCGCA
Molecule: transfer RNA, 81 nt
Filed under: Caudoviricetes sp.
Lineage: Duplodnaviria; Heunggongvirae; Uroviricota; Caudoviricetes
Description: tRNA-Leu
Rfam family: tRNA
About the family: Transfer RNA (tRNA) molecules are approximately 80 nucleotides in length.
Source: RNAcentral